CCUGUAUUAUCAAAAAAAAAUAUCAUUUUCUUUUGAAACAUUUGCAAGAGAAUCUUUUUAGAUAGUGGAGUAUUUCCUAAAACAUGAAUAAUGUCAUGAAUAGUUUUCCAAAUUAAGUUGGAAUUUAUUCAAGCUUCAAGGCCUUAUAACUCAAAGAGAGAGAACCUCUAGCAUCGUUUUGUAACUAAUGGUAUUACAACAAAAAAGCUCUUCUGAUAGAAGUCACAAUUCGUAAUUCACUUUUUAUAAUUAACCCAAUUAAAACAUAAAAUGGACAUAAAGAGACAAUGCGCACAAGUGACACUGGAAAGGCUUAAACCCUAAAAGAUCCUUCUUGCUUUUUAACAUGGACCACAUAACUAAUAUAAACUCUGAUAUUGAUACCUCAAAAUGGAAUAACUAGCCAGAGAAGAAGUGUUUGUCAUGCUUUGUUUUCCACAUUUAGACAGACAUAUAUCCUUCAGAAAGAGGAAUAUUUGAAGAGAAUAAGCUAUAAAGUGUCGUAAAAGGUUUGAGAACAGCUCCCUCUUUUUCCAAGAAUUCAUCCACUUCCCCUUACUCCAUAGGGCCUUCUCUAAUAGGGAAAAGCCUUCCAUUUCCGUCAAAUGACCCAGCCUCCCCUGGCUCUUCCACCGUCCGAGCUCCCUUUCCUCCCUAUGGUAUGCUCCCCCGGCGCAGGCCUACCACGCUUCGCGACAGAGGUGGGCAAUCUCUCUCAGCCCUUGUGUAUUUAUAACUCAGUGUAGCUUUAUUCCCAAUAAUUCCUAAUCCCAAUUCUUAUUUCCUAUUAGUUAAAGUGACUUCCUAAAUCCUGUAUUAACAACUAGCAAAAUG
Molecule: non-coding RNA, 834 nt
Organism: Solanum lycopersicum (tomato)
Lineage: Eukaryota; Viridiplantae; Streptophyta; Magnoliopsida; Solanales; Solanaceae
Source: RefSeq, a predicted model, not a curated record